UGCUCCAAGAGUUUAUAUAUGUGUUGCUGCAGUUGAAAAGCUCGUAGUUGGGAGUUGGAGUUGUUGGGUUGGUGGUUUUGGCGUUUGGGAUUCUGUCCCAGCGCCGGUUAAAUACGUGCAUCAGUACGUGGCCACCCCCAUCCACUUUUUUUUGUUCAAUUGGUGGUGUGAGUUUUCUCAUCACCUCCAUUUUUGAACGUGUUACUUUGAGUAAAUCUGAGUGUUCAAAGCAGACGAGUUUCAUUCGUCUUGAAAGUUGUAGCAUGGAAUAACGUGAUAGGACUCCGGUGGCCCUUUUCAGUUGGUCUAAGCCGUUCCGGAGUAAUGACUAAGAGGGACAGUCGGGGGCACUCGUACUUCCUUGUCAGAGGUGAAAUUCUUGGAUUUAGGAAAGACGAACCACUGCGAAAGCAUUUGCCAAGGAUGUUUUCA
RNAcentral lists this ribosomal RNA (432 nucleotides) under uncultured eukaryote. Its description in RNAcentral is "SSU rRNA". It matches the Rfam family "Eukaryotic small subunit ribosomal RNA", at positions 587 to 972 of the family's 1831-position model. The record is from RNAcentral.